UUACAAUGAAGAGUUUGAUCCUGGCUCAGGAUGAACGCUAGCUACAGGCUUAACACAUGCAAGUCGAGGGGCAGCAUUCUUCUAGCAAUAGAAGAGAUGGCGACCGGCGCACGGGUGAGUAACACGUAUCCAACCUGCCGAUAACUCCGGAAUAGCCUUUCGAAAGAAAGAUUAAUACCCGAUAGCAUACGAAAACCGCAUGAUAUUACUAUUAAAGAAUUUCGGUUAUCGAUGGGGAUGCGUUCCAUUAGUUUGUUGGCGGGGUAACGGCCCACCAAGACUACGAUGGAUAGGGGUUCUGAGAGGAAGGUCCCCCACAUUGGAACUGAGACACGGUCCAAACUCCUACGGGAGGCAGCAGUGAGGAAUAUUGGUCAAUGGGCGAGAGCCUGAACCAGCCAAGUAGCGUGAAGGAUGAAGGCUCUAUGGGUCGUAAACUUCUUUUAUAUGGGAAUAAAGUUUUCCACGUGUGGAA
This 475-nucleotide ribosomal RNA is filed under the name Bacteroides ovatus. Its description in RNAcentral is "bacterial SSU rRNA". It matches the Rfam family "Bacterial small subunit ribosomal RNA", at positions 1 to 467 of the family's 1533-position model. Lineage: Bacteria; Pseudomonadati; Bacteroidota; Bacteroidia; Bacteroidales; Bacteroidaceae. The record is from RNAcentral.